This 316-nucleotide ribosomal RNA is filed under the name uncultured bacterium. RNAcentral's name for it is "bacterial SSU rRNA". It matches the Rfam family "Bacterial small subunit ribosomal RNA", at positions 28 to 334 of the family's 1533-position model. The record is from RNAcentral.
GACGAACGCUGGCGGCGUGCCUAAUACAUGCAAGUAGAACGCUGAGGACUGGUGCUUGCACUGGUCUAAGGAGUUGCGAACGGGUGAGUAACGCGUAGGUAACCUACCUCAUAGCGGGGGAUAACUAUUGGAAACGAUAGCUAAUACCGCAUGACAAUAGGGUACACAUGUACCCUAUUUAAAAGGGGCAAAUGCUUCACUAUGAGAUGGACCUGCGUUGUAUUAGCUAGUUGGUAAGGUAGUGGCUUACCAGGGCGAUGAUAGGUAGCCGGCCUGAGAGGGUGGACGGCCACAAGGGGACUGAGAUACGGCCCUU